Molecule: ribosomal RNA, 165 nt
Filed under: uncultured bacterium
Lineage: Bacteria
Description: partial 16S rRNA
Rfam family: Bacterial small subunit ribosomal RNA
Source: RNAcentral
UAGGGAAUCUCCCACAAUGGGCGAAAGCCUGAUGGAGCAACGCCGCGUGUGUGAUGAAGGGUUUCGGCUCGUAAAACACUGUUGUAAGAGAAGAAUGACAUUGAGAGUAACUGUUCAAUGUGUGACGGUAUCUUACCAGAAAGGAACGGCUAAAUACGUGCCCAG